AUUGAACGCUGGCGGCAGGCCUAACACAUGCAAGUCGAACGAGUGGCGGACGGGUGAGUAAUGUCUGGGAAACUGCCCGAUGGAGGGGGAUAACUACUGGAAACGGUAGCUAAUACCGCAUACCAUCGGAUGUGCCCAGAUGGGAUUAGCUUGUAGGUGAGGUAACGGCUCACCUAGGCGACGAUCCCUAGCUGGUCUGAGAGGAUGACCAGCCACACUGGAACUGAGACACGGUCCAGACGCCUACGGGAGUGAUCAGUGGGGAAUAGUGCAAAAGGGGCGCAAGCCGGAUGCAGCCAUGCGGCGUGGAUGAAGAAGGCCUUCGGUUUGUAAAGUACUUUCAGCGGGGAGGCGUGACCCGCAGAAGAAGCACCGGCUAACUCCGGGCCAGCAGCCGCGGUAAUUC
RNAcentral lists this ribosomal RNA (406 nucleotides) under uncultured bacterium. RNAcentral describes it as "partial 16S ribosomal RNA". It matches the Rfam family "Bacterial small subunit ribosomal RNA", at positions 29 to 526 of the family's 1533-position model. The record is from RNAcentral.